AGUGUAGGCGGCUACGUAAGUCGGAUGUGAAAGCCCUGGGCUUAACCUGGGAAUUGCAUUCGAAACUGCGUGGCUAGAGUUUGAUAGAGGUAAGUGGAAUUCCGGGUGUAGCGGUGAAAUGCGUAGAUAUCCGGAGGAACAUCAGUGGCGAAGGCGGCUUACUGGAUCAAAACUGACGCUGAUGCUCGAAAGCGUGGGGAGCAAACAGGAUUAGAUACCCUGGUAGUCC
This 229-nucleotide ribosomal RNA is filed under the name uncultured bacterium. RNAcentral's name for it is "partial 16S ribosomal RNA". It matches the Rfam family "Bacterial small subunit ribosomal RNA", at positions 568 to 796 of the family's 1533-position model. The record is from RNAcentral.